GACGAACGCUGGCGGUGUGCUUCACACAUGCAAGUCGAACGAGGUAGCAAUACCUAGUGGCGGACGGGUGAGUAACGCGUGGGAAUCUGCCUUUAGAUGGGGGAUAACGGGUCGAAAGACUCGCUAAUACCGCAUAUGACGAAAGUUGAAAGGAGUAAUCCGUCUAAAGAUGAGCCCGCGUCCGAUUAGCUAGUUGGUAGAGUAAAAGCCUACCAAGGCGACGAUCGGUAGCUGGUCUGAGAGGAUGAUCAGCCACAAUGGGACUGAGACACGGCCCAUACUCCUACGGAGGCAGCAGUGGGAAUUUUACGCAAUGGGCGAAAGCCUGACGUAGCGACACCGCGUGAGCGAAGAAGCCCCUUGGGGUGUAAAGCUCUGUCAGCUGGAACGAAAAAAAUGACGGUACCAGCAGAGGAAGCAUCGGCUAACUACGUGCCAGCAGCCGCGGUAAU
Molecule: ribosomal RNA, 452 nt
Filed under: uncultured bacterium
Lineage: Bacteria
Description: bacterial SSU rRNA
Rfam family: Bacterial small subunit ribosomal RNA
Source: RNAcentral